Molecule: long non-coding RNA, 1372 nt
Filed under: Gallus gallus (chicken)
Lineage: Eukaryota; Metazoa; Chordata; Aves; Galliformes; Phasianidae
Description: long non-coding RNA NONGGAT002181
Source: RNAcentral
CUGCCACACUCCCUGUGACAUUGGAACAGCUCAGGUGUCCUGAAGACAAGGCUUUGUCGUCAUCUCUUUGCUAUAUAUCCUUCACCAGACAACCUAAAUGCAAUUUUUGAACGUCAGUUUGUUCAGUAUCAUACAGUGCCAAGGCUAUUAUCCUCAGGGAACAGAUGGAAAAAUGGAGAGAAAGGAGAUGAGGCCACUUCCUGGAGUCCCGAGCACAAGGAUCCUGCACAAACACACCCAGCUCUGCGUAUUCCUUCCAGGAGAGGGCAGGGGAAUACAGCUUAUUGCAGAUCUGCUCCUGAACCACAGCCAGCAUUACUCAUGGCCCAGAUCUUCCUGUAUGUCCUCCAGUCUAUUUUGGUUAUUUGAACGCAGUAGAGCCCCCUCAGAAAUGGGAAGUCGUCUGUAACACAAUACUGCACAACCGACAGAAGAUGGGAAAACCUGAGGCAGGAAAAAUGAGCCUUGGGCCAGCCACAGAUGGGAAGGCAAUGUGUGGGCAGAGCCAAACAGCGCUGAGCACAGAGCCGAUGAGCCUUUUGCUCCUUCUCCCACCUUUAUCGGUUCUGUGCAUAACAGCUUGGGAUCAACAUCAGCCUGCAGUUUCUUUUUGACUUGAUAAUGCUGUGCUAUUAUUAUCUCCAGGAAAAUGUUAAAAGGCUCCAGUGCUGAGCUGUGUUUGCCUUUCCUGAUUGGAUCUUUAGCACACAGCCAUGAGACAAAGGACAAUGAAAAGUCCCUUAACCUCACCUCGGCCCUGUGUUUGGCGGGCACAGGAAUGCCACAGAGGCUGUCUGAGCAGGAAAACCAGUCUGACUGAAAUUCCCUCCCGAAAGGUGGCAAAAAGAACAUGGAAAAUCCCCAGGCAGGAUCAAGGGCCAGAGGUGUGAACAGGUUUUAAAAGGACUCCCAGUGAAGAGAUGAACAGGGAAGGAACUGUCUUAACAAUGCACAAAAAGCGUGAGAUGGGGAGAAGACAACUGCAUCUUACAGCAUGGAGCAGGGGUGAGUUUUGCUGCAGUACCAAAUGAAGCCAUCGAGCAGAAGAAAGCUGAUCCAAAGCCAUCGGUGACAGCAGCACGGAUCUCUCUAACCCUAACCUGACAGCCUGCCCCAGGCCAGCAGUCAUUGCACCGGGAGUUGGCAGUCAGAAGUGACCAGAAGUCAUUGCAUUGAUGUAGAUACAUGCAUUUCUUCUGCCGUUAAGCAAAACCUCACAGUGAAUCUGACACCAAGAGCAAAGCUCAGCUGUGUGCCAGUUGCUUUCACUGUCACAGGGCUUCAAGGAAUUGAUCAGAAAAUCAGUUCACAGCUUGAGAGGUGCACAGCACUGCCACUGUCGCAUGUAAAUCUCCACUUUGGUUUAAGCCCA